RNAcentral lists this long non-coding RNA (17748 nucleotides) under Manihot esculenta (cassava). RNAcentral's name for it is "long non-coding RNA (MESC_LNC004550)". The record is from RNAcentral. Lineage: Eukaryota; Viridiplantae; Streptophyta; Magnoliopsida; Malpighiales; Euphorbiaceae.
UUCAAGUAAAUGGUUGUAUAUGACCUAUAGACUUCGUAAGAGCAAAGACCAUAACAAACAGAAUUAUCCACUAAAACAGACUUCCAAUCAAGUCAAUAAUAAUAUGUGUCUUUCACUAAGUUACUUAGACAUUUAAAAAAGUGAAUAUUUCUACAUCUUAAAUUUCAAUCACCUAACAUAUUGAGAGGACAAAAUGAAUUCCAAACAUCAACCGUACAAACCCAGCUUUCUCAUCCAAUGCAACAGACAGAACCAAUGCAGCAGAAUCAACAAAUAUAACAAAAUCAACUAAUAUAACAUAGUGAACUAAGAUAACAGACUCAAUCAAUUACAAUAGUGAGCCAACCCAGAAUACUCACUCUAGUAUGGGUAAAGACAGCAACCAAAAUAGAGAUGCUUUAGAUAAAGGUACUUUGAGUAGAGUAACAUUUGGCAGAGGUAUCUCUACUAACAACAUGGGAGCAAUUAGGGAAAAUGAGUUUGUUGACAGACAAGUCAAUAAAUUAUAAUGCAAGAGAGGUGGAUUUACUUCUAGGGAGGUACAUGUUAAGGUUGGGAGAAAGAGAAAUAUUAAAAUUUCAUUAGCUAACUUAUUAACUCCCAUCCACAAUAGAAAGGAAAAAUUCUAAAAUGUAAGUAUGGUAUUUGAAUUUUGUUUUUAUUGCUUUUAAUGGUAAGUGAUUUAAUUUUUUAUGUUUUACUUUUCUUUUUUAACUGGUAAUAGCUGGGAUUAUCUUUUAGCAAGUUUGUAAAGUAUCCAUCACAUAAAUUUCAAGUGAAGAGAUUAUCUGAGGUUCUGAGGUCACUAGUGUUCUUUGAUUCAAGCCUCCUACUUUGAGGUGGAAAGAAAAGAAAGCAAUUACUUCAGGACAGUUGCAACAAACUAGAAAUGUAUAGUAAUGACAAGAAAAGCUAAGAGCAAUAAGCACAUAGCAACAACAAUUUUUAAGUUUUCCACAAAACUAGGUUAAUUAGGCUUAAGAGCAACAUUUCACAGUCAUGAAAAAAUAAUAUAUUUUAGAUUUUGGGCACAUUUAAUAAUGUUAUAUGGUUGCAACAAUUUGAUCAUGUUAUAUAUUUUAAAUAAUUAUAUUAUUUUGGAUAUCAAUCAUAGUGAAUAAGUUGUGUGGUUAUUUUGAUUUUGCAAUGACUACUAUUUUUAGAUAGUUUUUAGAUAGGCAAUGUUAAAAUGGUAAUGACUUUUUUCUUUUCAAUUUAAAUGGUAUCAAUAGCUAAUUAUGUCAUUUGAUAUAUUGUCAUAUUUUUAAUUUGAAAGUUUUAUCACUUCAUAUUCACAAAGCAACAACAAAUUCACAAAAAAUUUCAAUAUUUAUAUACUCAAAUCAAUACCAAAAUCAUAAAAACUUUAAUAAUCAUUAAGUUAACAUUCAUUAUAGACCAUAUAGGAGGAUAAUUGCAAUACAUAUCAAGCAAACUGCAAUCUUAUGAUCACAAGCCAAAAAUCUAAUUUCAAGUCUUCAUAAUCACUAACCAAAACAAAACACGAACUAUUGCAUUUGUCCCAAAAUAAUAUUAAACCAUUUUAUAUACUUUAACAAAGCAACUAAACUACAAUAGUUGUUGCAACCGUUACAAUAAUUGUCAUUUUUCUUUUUGAAACUCUAAAUCCAUUGCAUCCCUUCUUCUCAUCUUCUUGCUCAUUUAUUCUUGAUAAUAAUCCAAAAAUUUAUUCUAUAAAUGAUCUGGAAUAGGGGAUCAUACCAACAGAAAAACCACAUGCAACAAUUGUUUUUAUCUCGUAACAAUAAAUUAAUAAUACAUUAUUUAUAAUAAGAAAAAUCAAAUCAAAUUUUGAAGUAUCGGUAUUAAACUCACCCAUAACACUUGCAACAAAAAAAUAUUUUUUUAGGGUUCAUCCUUGCCCAUAAAACCUUCACUAUUGUUGUUUCACAAUAAUGGCACAAUAGAAACACAUUAUUAAUUAAUUUUAUAUCCAUUGAUUCAAUGAACAGCUCAGAUUUGUUUUGAAUUGACUGAAAUUAGGGCUUCCAAUUAAUUAUCAAAUUAGAACCAUCGUUUCUAAAAUUAUUUUUUCUAUAUCGUAUCAAUUUUCUCUUAAUAUAUUAGUUUAAUCUAAACUAUUAUUUUAUCUUUAUUUUAUAACAUAAAUUACAUAUUUUUUAAAUUAUAUAAUUUACAAAUUUUCUCGUAUUUUACUAGAUUUUAAUUAGACUGUGGCACAAUUAAUUAAAAUUAUUUUAUUUAAUUAUUUAUGUUUAAAUUAUUUGUAUUAUUUGUAUUUUUAAAAAAUAUAAUAAAAUUAUUUUUAUUUAAUAAUGUUGGAAAAUUAUUAAAAUUUUGAGGAUCAAAAUAAAUAAAUAAUACACCGACAAUAUCACAUAGUCAUACAUUACUAGUUAAAUAAAUCAUGCAUAUAGAUUCACAGUAUAAGAGUUACUUAAAAUCGCAGUGUAUUUCCAUAAGAAAAAAAUAACUUGAGAACCUAAAUAUCUGGAUAUCCACAUAUUCUACAAUUGUUAUCCUUUCGUUCCACACGAAAAUAGGAGAUCGCUCGACACACGAACAGGAGAUACCCGACUCCUACACAAAGGAUAACCCGAUAGAAGAUUAAUUGUGUGAAUAAACUCUUAUUCUCAAAAAAAUAUUUAUUUCUUGGUAGACCUUUUUAGAGAGCAAAAAAAAAAAAAAAACUCUCAAUGAGAAGAUGAUUAUUCUCUGUUACCAUGAAGAAAUUCAGAUUGCGUUAGAAGAGAGAGAAGAAAAAAAUUAAAUAUUAACUUCAUUUAUUUUAAUCUUUAUAAAAUAAAUUAAACUGAGCUAUUAUAAAUAAGGUAUUGAACCUUAUUACGAGCUUUAUUUUUCGGGCUCUAUCCUGGGUGGAUUAAUUUCUUUCAUCUUCCACUUACACAUGAUAAGGUAUGAUGAUAUGUACACGGCUUCAUAUCUUAUGUUUCUGUAUUUUUAGUUAUUAUUUUUUUUUCAUUCUUUCUUUUAGGACUAAUGUGAUGUAUUUUAGGAAAAAUGCAUCAAGGUAAAUGAUAUCCUAUGACUAAUGAGCUAGAGACUUAAAAUAAGGUGUAUGUGCCAGAUGAGGAUUCGAUCCUUAGACGAUGGGUAAAUGACCUAGAGCUGCCUAGUUUGAGGAACAGACAUUCCCACAGAUGGCUUACGGUCUUGCAGACCCCAUGGUAGCCGCUCUACAAGGACUACAACAAACCCUAGCAAUGUUUUAGCGCCCUUCUGCACCACAAGAGCCAUAUAAGCAUAUUAUUGCAUUUAAAAAAUUGGUGACUGAGAGGUAAAAUGGCACUGGUGAUGCAUAUAGGUUUUUGGAUAUGGUCAAACAGGCGGGUACAAAAAUGCGAUUAUUUGAUAAGCGUCUAAUAGAGUGUGUACGACAUGUUACGGUAGCAUUACCAGGAUAGUGUAUGUUUGAUUAUGUUAUUCCACGGAUAGAGGGGUUGGCUUGGGGCCAAUUUUUAGAACUGCUCACUAACAAAUUCAUUCUAUUGAGCACUAGAGAUAUGAAGCAGUGGGCUUUUGAAUCUUUACAGCAGGGUGGUAGGACUAUAGAUGAGUAUGCUACUGAAUUUCUUGAGUUAAGUCAAUGUGCCCUGACAACUAUUGCCACAGAGGCCAUGAAGGUCAAAGGAUUUCUUAAAAUCCUAGAUUAGAGAUAUGCCACCCUAGUGAUGUUAGCAGAUCAACCAUUUGACCUUGUUGUUGAUCGGGCUAGACAAAUUAAAGCAAAAUACCAAUUAGUGGAUGCUGGAAGGCAAGGAAAAGUUGGAACCAAUGGACAUACUAAUCAGGAUUCUGGACAAUUUAGUGGAUUCCACAUGGGGGCUAGUGAAAGGACUAGGCAGAGUAACUUCAAAGGUAAGAAUAGAGGCAAUAAGAAGGUAGAAACUAGGCAUACCUUUGGAGCAUACAUAUCAAGUUAUAGUUCCAGUAGUGGACAUGGUUUAGGGUGCAAUAGUUAUGGCUCUGCAGGAUCAUCUUUGCACCUUGCUCUUAAUGUGGUAGGACUCAUCAUGGAUCUUGUCUGAUGAGUACAAGGAAUUGUUUCAGAUGUGAAAAAAUGGGACAUUUUGCCAAAGAUUGUCCUAUCUUUAAUGAGUAGCGGACUAGAUCACUGGGUUCAGUUGGUAAUACUCCCAGACCAAUGUUUCUUAGUACUCUUAGCAUACCAGGUAUCCAAUUUAGUAGUUAACAAGGUCGAGGCUAUAGGGGUCAUAGUAUGAGUGGCAGAAGGGGUGGUAGAGGACAAGCACAAAGUUCAACACAGACCAGUAGGGGAUAGGCCAAAGUUUUUAGCCUUACUCAUCAUGAUGCACAAACAUCAAAUGUGAUGGUAGCAGGUAUUCUUCAAUUCUUUUCUUUAGAAGCAUGAGUGUUAGUAGAUUUGGGUGUUACACACUCAUUUGUUUCUCCUGUUUUUGCUUCAAUGUUUAAUAGGAGUUUUAUAGCUUUAGAAUAUCUAUUCUUAGUAGCUACUCCUCUAAAUGAUGCUAUAAUUGUGGCUAUAGUUUUUCCUGGUUGUUUGGUGAGAGUAGAUGGCAAAGAUCUUUCUAUAGAUUUGAUUCCUCUCCUAAUGAUGGAUUUUGAUGUAACUUAGGGAUGGAUUGGUUGUUUGCCCACUAUACCACACUAGAUUGUAGAAAUAAGAGUCAUAUUUCACAUUCUAGGAAUUAAGAAGUUUAAUUUUGAUGGUAUUAGGAAUUUGGCACCUUAUAACCUAGUAUCAGCUAUUAAUGCUAAGACGAGUUGAGGCGAGGCUGUCAAGGUUAUUUGGCGAUAAUGAAAAACACCUCUAUAGAAAGUCCUAGUGUAGAUAAUGUUCUUGUGGUCAAGGAAUUUUCUGAUGUCUUUCCUAAGCUACCAGGGUUGCCUCUUGAGAGAGAAAUUGAGCUUUGCAUAGAUGUUAUACCAGACAUAAAUUUCAUCUCGAUGCCACCAUAUAGGAUGGCCCCAUUAGAGCUUAAAGAAUUAAAAGAGCAGUUGCAGGAGUUGUUAGAAAAUGGGUUUAUCCAACCGAGCACAUCACCCUGGGGUACUCCCAUCUUAUUUGUGAGAAAGAAGGAUGAAUCUUUAAGGCUGUAUAUUGAUUAUAGACAGUUGAAUAAGGUAACAGUUAAGGAUAAAUAUCUACUUCCUCAAAUUGGUGACUUAUUUGAUCAAUUGCAAAGGACUCAAUACUUGUAAUACCCGGCUAGAGUUCGGCGUCGGAAGUCCUGUAGUCCGGUGGAAUUUCUGAUGUCGAAAUCCUCUAACAAGGUACGGAUUAUGUUUUGCUAUGUUUUGAAAGCGUUUUCAUGUUUUAAAGUGUUUAAAGAAGUAAGGUUUUGCAAGAAAAGCACCAAGGCAUAAAAGCCAAGGUUCGGCCGCCGAAGGUGACUUUCGGCCGCUGAACGUGCAUGGCAUUCGGGAUUCUCAUUCGGCCGUCGUAGUUGGUCUGGCCAGCCAACUAUAAAAGGCCCUAGGUCGGUCAAAUGGAUAAGAUUUUCUUUCCAUUUGCACAAGCUGAGGUGAGACUUGAUCUUCCUUGAGUGAUUUAUGUGUUUUCUCAAAUCUUUCAUGGUUUUGAUGGAUUUUCAUGUGGUUUUGAAGUUUUUGAGCAAAAGAGCAAGUUUAGAAGCUUGGAGAGUUUGAGAGAGGAUUUCUUCAUAUCUCCACGUAGGGAUCGUUCAAUCUCUUGUUUGGAAGAGGUAAGUGAAGAUCCUGAACUUCCUUUCUUGAUUUUGAAGGUUUUAUGGGAGGUGUAUGGGUAGUUAUGCAUGUUUAGGUUAAGGGAGGUUUUUGAGGAUUUUGGUGUAUCAGCAUGGUUAAGUGUUGUUUGAUAUGUUUGUUGGAGGUGUUAGGAGAGGUGUAGACCUCUUUAUGCAUGUUAUAUGGUAUAUGCUAGUUGGGAGUAGUUGCUAUGCAUGUUGAAUAGGUUUUGGGUGAAGUUUGCAUGAAACAGAGCAGGUUUCUGCCCAACGGGCAAAACCAGGUUCGACCGCCGAACCCCUUGUGGAGGCAGUUUCGGCUGCCAAAGCUUGCCCCCGAACCUUUGGACUUUCGUCUCUGGAGGCAAGGUUCGGCCGCCGAAAGUGCUGCCGAAGGUUGAGUUUCAUCUCUGGACGAGACUUUCGGCUGCCGAAGGUGCCGCCGAACAUACAUGAGUUUCAUCUCUGGAGGGGAGUUUCGGCCGCCGAACCUGCCGCCGAAAGUGCCCUGUCCAGCUUUCUUUUGCAUGUUUUAUGUGAUUGUUCUAGGGUUUUUGGGGAGUUGCUUAGAGAUGUUCUUGAGUUAGUUUGGUCCCUCAUUUCAGUCCACCUGUGUAGGAACGGACCAGAGGAACCAAGGAGUUCAGCAGUGAGCACUGCUUCAGAACCUGCAGAGUCAGUACAGAGUCAGCCAGAGGUGAGUGGAACUGAACUAAAUCUUUUACUAUGAGAACUCAAACAUUUUUAGCAUGUUUCAUGCAUCAUUUAUACCAUGUUUAUAGUAUUGCAUUAAUGAGCACGAAGAUGUUGCAUUAAUCAGUGCAUGUACAGAUCGGGCGUAGCUUGGAUUCAUUAGCCCCCUAAAUGAAGACCUGAGGAGCCCUGAAAGGGCCGGGCACACGGUACCAUAGGGUGCUGAAUGAAGACCUGAGGAGCUCCUUCGCGGGCCGGGCAAUGUGGGGGAAUUUUGAAUUAGUCCGUCUGAGAUUAUGUGAUUUACUUGUGUUGUGAUGCAUUCCAUGAGAUCAUGUUUUAUAACAUGUUUUAUAUGUACUACUCACUGGGCUAGUAUAGCUCACCCCUCUCCCUUAACCCCAGUCUUGCAGGUUCAGAGUCCAGAGAGAUCAGCAGGGUACAGAUAAAGAGAAGAGUUAUGUAAUAGCUAGUGUGGACAUGUAAUUGUCACAGAUAGUGUAUGUUGUAUAGAUGAUGCUUGACCUUAUGAGUUAUAAUCCUUUUGUAUACAUGAUCUUUUAUGUAAAUGUUUUUAUGUUAUAUGUAUGAAAACCCAGGCUUAACAGGAUAUGAGUUAGCCCACCUAGAGCAAAGACGAGAGCUCUAGCAGUGGUUUACAGUGUAAAGAUAGUGUAUGCACAGGUUAAGCCUUGGAACAGAGAAAAGUUUUAAGUUUUACAGAAAAUGUAUGAUCAUGUAUGGGAUUUCACAGGUACACAGAGUUCACAGUAGGCUUGCUACGGGUCCCGGCGGCCUUAAGCCAAUCUGGAUCCUAGCGCCGGUAGCAGUUCGGUUUUCGGGCUGUUACAAUACUUCUCUAAAAUUGACCUAAGGUUAGGCUAUCAUCAAUUGAGGAUACAAAGGGAGGAUCUACAAAAGAUAACUUUUCAAACUCGAUAACAUUAUGAGUUUUUGGUAAUGUCUUUUGGACUCAAUAAUGCACCAGCAGCUUUUAUGGACCUAAUGAAUACGGCGUUUAGGCUAUUUCUAGACUGUUUAUAAUUGUAUUCAUAGAUGAUAUCUUGUAUAUUCUUGAAUUGAAGAGGAGCAUGCUUGGAAUUUGAGGAUGGUCUUACAAACAUUGAGGAACAUAAGCUUUAUGCCAAGUUUUCUAAAUGUGAGUUCUGAUUUAGAGUAUAUAUUUCUUGGGACAUAUGGUUUCUAAAGAAGGCAUUCAAUUUGAUCCUAAGAAGAUAGAGACAGUAACUAAUUGGUUAAGGCUUACUAUGUUAUAGAGAUAUGGAGUUUUCUUGGCUUAGCUGGGUAUUAUCGAUGAUUUGCGCAUGAUUUCUCCAAAAUUGCAACUCCUUUUACCCAUUUGACACAAAAGAAUGUGAAUUUUAUUUGGUCUGAUGCUUGCGAAGAGAGCUUUCAAAAAGCUUAAGAAUUGUUUAACUAUAGCCCCUGUCUUGACUUUACCAUUUAGUGGAGGCGAAGAUACAGUGUACUGUGAUGCAUCUAGAGUUAGGUUGGGUUGUGUUUUGAUGCAGCAUAGUAAAGUGGUAGCUUAUGCAUUCCGACAAUUGAAGAAACAUGAACAAAAUUAUUCCACGCAUAAUCUUGAAAUGAUGGCUGUAAUUUUUGCACUAAAGAUAUAGAGUGACAGAGCAUAUUUUAGCCCACUUUAUCAUGAUAUUAAUGAUGUUUAUUUGCACCUUUUCUGCCUAAUUUUGUGAUUUUGUUCAUGUUUUGCAGAUUUUAGGUGUGAAAAGACAAUCUGGAAAAAAUGCUCUUAAAACUGCAAAAAAGGGCCAAAUAUGGAAAGUUCCAGAAAAGGAAAGUUUUCAUAUAUGGAAAGUUCCAAAUAAGGAAAGUUUUCAUAUAUGGAAAGUGCCAAAUAAGGAAAGAGUCAGACAGCACAAUCAGCAAACUGCCCGAAAUUCGAACUGCAGAAUCUUUCCUGCCUUAUUUAGAACAUGUGCCAAGAAAGAAAAGUUUUCAAAUAAGGCAGGUUUUCAGAAAAGGAAAGUCUUCAAAUGAGGAAAGUGCAGAGACAAAAGUAAAUAAGGAAAGCUCAGUCAGGAAAUUAUUUGAAUUUCGAAUCGCAGAUCUUUCUUUCCUUAUUCAAAGAUGUGCACAUACUGCAGCAGUCAAAUCUUCCAAUUUAGGCAGCAAAGUCUCAUCAAGGCACACUUGCCUCUUCUGCGUUCAGCGUUUAAAAUUCAAAUGAAGGCUCCGUCUAAAAGGGAAAGACUCGGCAGAUCCACUUUCCCUCUUGCAUUCAAUAACUGCGCACUACUUGCCUUUUGCAACAUGAUCCGCGCACCACUCUCUAUUCAGGAAGGAAAUCUCAAUGCACUUAGCCUUUAUUCAGUCCAGAUUCAUAAUUCAAAAGAGGCUCCAUCUAAAUAGGAAGUUUGGACAGCAAAUACUUCCUAUUCAGAAGCAUCCGCGCGCCUACCUCUUCUGCAGAGCUUGAUCCGCGCACCUCUUUCCCAUUCAGCACCAUCUGCGCGCAUGCCUCUCUCCUGCAGAGCAAGCCACGACUUUUCUUCCUCUAUUGGCAUCCUUGGAUCGCUCUUCCUUCCUUUUCAGGCAUAAGGUACGCUCCUUUCCUAUUCUGAAGGCCAUCUGCGCACCACCUUCCAUCUGAAAGCCUUGAUUAUCUCCAUCUUCCUCUUCUGCAACAACUUGGGCAGCAAGUUGAGUUCGGGCAGCACCUUGGGCAGCCUCUACACUAAUUAGGAAGACCUAGGCAGCACCACAACUCUAUAAAAAGGUACUCUCUUUGGUAGCCACGAAUUUGGACUCCCUUCAGACUCAUCUUCUCCUUCUCAUCCGGAUCAAGCAAGGCCGCGCCUCCACCACCUUCGGCUUCUUCUUCUCUUCUUCUACCUUUCUUUAUGGUUUUUGUUUCAGCCAUGAGUGGCUGAAACCUUUCAUUCUAGUUGAAGAACAAGUGAAGCUUUAGUUGUAUUGUGGAUUGAGAGACUUGGACUACAUUGUUUAUCUUUUUGUUAUUCAGUAUUCUUGUGAUUUCAUGCUUAAGGACAUUAUUGCUUUGUUAUUUAAGAUCUCCAUUGAUUCUUUGUUGCAAGUUAAUAUAUUAUUGGUUUGAAUGAUUUUAAGUCCGUAAUUGCUUGAUUUGUUCAACCAUAAGAACACUUGGUGCACAACCAAGGAAAUUGCAUGAUCUAGUGUUGUCUCCAUGCUUGUGGGUGACUAGAAUUGGUUCUCUCUAUUUCUUUAUGCGAUUGACUAUUGUAAAAGGCCUUAGGCUCAAAGACGUUCUUUGGCAAUUGUUAAUUAGUAAUUAAUUGGAGGACUUUCUCUAAUUGAUUUAAUCUUAAAGAGAGACAAUGGAUGUGAGAAGCUUCUUCAAUCUCCAUGGCCAAUUUAUUGAAUUAACAAAGGAACAUUUGAGUCAAUGAUCAAUCCCAUCAACUAAAGUGAAUCUGAAUCUUCAACUAGAGCUUUUACCACCAUUGUUUUACACUUAAUUUAUCAUCUGCUUUCUUUUUAAUUGCUCUUUUCAUUAGUUUAAUCAAAUCAAUCUCAAAACCCCCCAUUUUUACUUUACAUGCACUUGCACUUUCUUUUCUUUUCUGCUCUUUUUAAUUUGGUCUACUCAAGGAAGGUAAAUAAGUAUCAAUUCCCUGUGGAUACGAUCCUUUCACCACUAUCUACAGUAUUUUUAUUGUUGAUAACUGAAUUGAUUAUUUUGACCGGCUUCGACAACCGCUCCGUCAUAGAGGCACUAUCUUUAUGGAGAGACGUGUGAGAUAUACACUUAUCAUAAAGGCUUGAAGUAUAUCUUCUAGCAAAGGGAUUUAAAUUGAAGGCAAAGGAGAUGUAUGAAACUUUUAAAAGAUUAUGAUUACACUAUUCAAUAUCACCCUGGCAAGGCAAAUAUGGUGGCAGAUGCCUUAAGUAGAAAAUCAUCGGGUAGUCUUGCACAUAUAACAGCAGAGAAAAGGCCCUUGAUAGAAGAACUAUAUGAAUUUAUGGACCAGGUUUUGGCUCUUGAUAUAUCUAGUUCAAAUAUAGUCUUAGCACAUUUCAGAGUAUAACUAGAUCUUAGAGAUAAAAUUAGAAUUUUGCAGCAUAGGGACCCACAAUUAAUGGAACUGUAGAAAAGGUAAAAGAGGGUGAAGAUUGUCGCUUUGGAUUCGUGGUGAUGGUACUCUCAUGCAAAGGUCAAGGGUAUAUAUGCCUGAUUAGAUAAUUUGAGAAAUGAAAUCAUGCAAGAAGCACAUUACACACCCUACACUAUUCACCCUAGGUCUACAAAAAUGUAUCAUGAUAUGAAAGACAAGUAUUAGCGGAAUGGCAUGAAGCAAGAUAUUGCAAAAAUUUAUAUCUAAGUGCCUAACAUGUCAGAAAGUGAAGUUUGAACAUCAAAGACUUUCAGGGAAGCUUCAAGAGAUCCCUAUUCUAUAAUGGAAAUGAGAAAUGAUCAUGAUGGACUUUGUAUCUAGGUUGCCUCGUACUACUAGAGAAUAUAACUCCAUUUGGAUAAUUGUAGAUCGCUUGACUAAGUUAGCUCACAUUUUAAAUAUGAAAAUGACCCAUUCAGUUAUUCAGUAUGUUAAGUUGUAUGUUUGAGAGAUAGUUAGAUUGCAUGGAAUUCCAACUUCUAUAGGGUAAUUGUAGAUCGCUCGUCUAAGUCAGCUCACAUUUUAAAUGUGAAAAUGACCCAUUCAAUUGCUCAGUAUGUUAAGUUGUAUGUUCGAUAGAUAGUUAGAUUGCAUGGAAUUCCAACUUCUAUAAUCAAAUAGAGGACUUCAAUUCACUUCUCAGUUUUGGAAGGAGUUACAGGAGGCACUUGGCACUCGGUUGAAUUUUAGUACAGUCUUCUACCUGCAGACUGAUGAACAAUCCGAGAGGACUAUUCAAACAUUAAAAGAUAUGCUUUGUAUUUCUGUCAUGGAUUUUAGUGGCCAAUGGGAUGAUCAACUGCCAUUGGUGGAGUUUGCUUAUGAUAAUAGUUAUAAUUCCAAUAUCAGUAUGACACCUUAUGAGGCUCUUUAUGGAAGAAAAUGCAGAACCUCUUUAUAUUGAAAAGAAGUUGGUGAAGUCAAGGUUUAUACUGUUGACUUGGUUCAAUAUAUAGUAGAAAAGGUAUCUUUGAUCAAGAAACAGUUAAAAACAUCUUUAAGUAAAAAAAAAAAAAAAGUAAUGCAGACCGUAAGAGGCGAGAUGUGGAGUUUGCAAUUGGAGAUUAUGUAUUUCUGAAAGUCUCCCCUAUGAAGGGAGUGAUGAGAUUUGAAAAGAAAGGUAAGUUGACAACCUCGAUAUGGGGGACCUUUUGAAAUCAUAGGCAAAGUUGGGGCAGUUGUCUAUCGAUUGGAGUUACCAUCAGAGUUUUCACAUGUCCACCCUAUGUUUCACUUCUCAAUGCUACGUAAGUACGUAUAUGACCCAUCACACUUGUUACAAUCCGACUUAGUAGAAAUCUGUGAGGACUUAUCAUAUGAGGAACAGCCUGUGCCUAUAAUGGAUCAUUAGAUACGUCAACUUCGGUCAAAGCAAACACCAAUAGUUAGGGUCUUAUGGAUAAAUCAAUUUGUGGAAGAGUGCAAAUGGGAAUCAGAGAGAGAUAUGCGGACAACUACCCUCACUUGUUUGACUUGUGAUCUUAGCAUGUUUUGUAACUAGUCUAUCUUAUUUGCCUUAUUUUAAAUUCAAGGAAGAAUUUCUUUAAGGAGGGAAGAAUAUAAUGUCCCAAAUUUUUUAUUUAUUUACCUUAUUAUUAUCAAUAUAAUAAUUUGGUAUUUUAAAUUUAAAUUUACUAUGAAACUUCUUGAGAAUUUUCUAAUUUUUAAUUUUUGAAAUUUUAUAUUUUAUUGUAUACAAUUUUGAGAAUUUAUUUUAAAUUAUUUAAAUAGUACAUGGAAAGUUUUAAAUUUAGUUUUGUAUUUUAAAAUUUUUCUCGGACUUCCAUAAAUUUUUAAAAUUUUUUCUAAACUCAUUUAUAGUUAUAAGACAGAGCAAAAAGACUAAAAAUAAAAUUAUAAAUUAAAAUAGUCCUAAAAUAAAUCGGAUUGUUCAAAUCAAACCAAUCAGAUCAGAUUGCUCUAAUCAAACUAAUCAAAUGAGAUCGGUUGAAUUAAACGGGACCACCUCCUUUUUGUCCUCUCUCGUGCAACCCCUCCAAUUUCUUCUUCCUUCUUUCUUUUUUCUUUUUCUUCCCUUUUCCUUCCCAUCAAUUUUCUCUUGAUUUUUUCCACCUCCGACCACGAUUUCCAACAAGAUUAGACUUUUUUUAUUUCGCUCCUUACAAACUUUACAUAGAUAUCAAUUUUGCCCGCCUUCAUCGCUAGACAAGCAUUCAAAAUUUAUGAUCCUUUUAAUUUUCUCUUAAAAUUAAUCUGAAACCAGACAUCCUAUCAAAAAUCUAAGGUUACCAGCGUGUCAUACUCAUUGAGAUCUUCAUGUGGAUACUAAUUUCAUAAUUUUUUGACACCAAAAAAUUUUGAAGACCCAUAAGUUUGACUACGAGUUUUUGAAUCCUUAGAAUCAUGUUUUUUAUGAAAUAAAAAUAUAUUCUUAUCUGUGGUAUUAUGAGCUUCAUGUAGGUACCUUCGUUUCAGAGAUAUUCUACAGGCGUCCCGGACUACAAUUUUGGUCUGGAUGCAUGGUCUCCAAAACUAUUCUCCAAAAGGGAUCAAUAUUAUAGAUUUUUCUACUAUUUUUAAACGCUCCGAACGCAUUUCAGAUAUCAAAAUUAGCAUUGGUAAGCCUAAACUUAAAUUAUCAUUUUAUAUUUAGCUUAAUAUAUUAUUGAAUAUAUUAGAAUGACUAUAAAUGAGUAAAAUUAUUUGCUAUAGCAAUAUACUAUAAUUAAAGACUUUUAGGGAAUGUUUGUGGAAUUCUUAUAAUGUAUUUAAUUUUUAAAGAAUUGUAGAAAAUCUUAAAUAUGUGAGCUAAAAUUUAUAAUUUGCUAUUGUUGGUUGAUUUUGGCAAUAUACGAAAAAGUCAUGUAUCAUUGUGUCAUGGGCUUGAGGCCUUUGAGUUAUUAAAAAAUAUGAAUUAUAUUGUCCUGCAAGGUGUAAGAUUCUAAAUAUAGAAGAAACUCUGAAAUUUUGGUGCAAAAGUCUUUGCCUCGUUAUUAUCUGAUAAAAUCUUUAGAAGGAAAAUUUUAGCAAUAAAUAUGAAAUUUGCCAUAAUUUCUAUUGAAAUUACUAACAAAUAGAAAGAAACCGAACCUAUAGUCUUUUGCAACAAAUCAUAUGAAGAUAAACAAAAAUAAUAGGCUUUGGAAAUUUAAGGAAAAAGAGAAUAAAUUUAUAAAUUUUAAAUUGAAUUAUAUUAAAAUUUAUCCUUCAUUUGGUAUCAAAUAUUUUAUAAAAAUUCAAUUCAGUUAAUUUUUUUUAAUAAUUCUCUUAUUUGAAAUGAAAUAAUUUAAUUCUUUUUAAUUUAAAAUUUUCUGUAAUACCCGGCUAGACUCCGGUAUCGGAAUUCCUACCGUCCGGUGGAAUCUCGGAUGUCGGGACACUCUAGAAGGGUAAGAAUAUGUUUUUUCUAAAACGUUUUUAUGUAUUUUAUGGUUUUAAAUAAGAAAGAAAUUGAGUUUUGAAUGAAAAAGACCAUAGAGGGAAAAUCCAGGUUCGGCCGCCGAACCUCAUGUUCGGCCGCCAAACAUGCAUGAGUUUUGGAAUCACCUUCGGCUUCCGAAGGUGGCCUAGCCAGCCACCUAUAAGAGGCUCCAUGGCCGAAAAUAGGCGAGUUUCUCCCCUAUUUUCGGCCAACGGUGAGUCCAUGCCCUCCCAUGGUUGGUUUUGAUGAUUUUCCUCAAAUUUUUCAAGUUUUAACGAGUUCUAGCUUGGUUUUGAAGAUUUUUGGAGCUAAGAUCAAUAUUUGAAGCUUGGAGACCCAGGAGCUCUCUUCCUCCAUUUCUCCAAGUUUAGGUCAUCUCCCCUCUCGAUUUUUAAGAGGUAAAAGUAGAUCUUUAGCUUAUUCCAUGUUUUAAACAAGUUUUAUGAGAUUUUUUAGGUAGAAAUGCAUGUUUAGGUUAAUGUUAAGUUUAUGGUUGAUGAAUGUUGUAUGAGUUGUUAUAUGUGUUUGUGUUGGGGUUUAGGUUAGUUUGAGACCCCUAUAUGCUUAUUUGCUUGUGUAUACAUGUUGUAGAAUAGCUAAAUGCAUGAUUGAAUGGUUUGUGAGGCAAAGUGUGCAUGAGGAGGCUGAGUUCUACCCUUUGGAAGAACUCAGGUUUGGCAGCCGAAGGACUUUCGGCUGCCGAACCUGCCUGUGAAGGCAAGCUUUCGGCUGCCGAACCCUGCCCUCGAAAGUUGGACUUUCGGCUCUGGAAGGGAAUUUUGGCCGCCGAAGGUGCCGCCGAACAUGCACGAGUUUCGGCUCUGGAGGGACUUUCGGCCGCCGAACCUGCCACUGAAAGUGCCCUAUUCAGCCUUCCUUUGCAUGAUUUAUACGAUUGUUUUAAGGUGUUUUAGGGGGUUUUUGGGGAGUAUUUUAGAGUCAUGUUCAUGUAUGUUUGGUCCCUCAUUUGAGUCCACUUGUGUAGGUUCGGACCCGAGGAACCGAGGACCCCAGCUGUGAGAUAGCUGCUUCAGUGUCUUGUCAGAACUAGCUUGAGGUGAGUAGAACUAAAAUAUAUCUUAAAUAAUGAAAGAUUUUAGCAUGUUUCAUGCAUCAUGAAUGCCAUGUUUAUAUUAGGUUGUAUUGCAUUAGAAUUCACGAAGAUGAUGCAUUGUAUCCUUUGUUGUUGAUGUAGAUGGAUGUUGGAUGACCCAUUAGCCCUCAAUAUGUAUGAUGAUUAAUGAAAGUCCAAGGCUGCCCAUGUCCACGCGUCCUGGCAUUUAUUUAUGUAUGAUGAUUAAUGAAAGUCUAGGGCUACCCAUGUCCACGCGUCUUGGCAUUGUGUGAUGAUUAAGAGGAAGUCCUGCGGAGCCCCGUCGAGGGCCGGGCACAUUGGAAUUAGAGGGCUAUUGGUGACAAGUCCAUCCGUGAUGUGAAUUGUAUGUGUUGUGAUGCAUUACAUGAAAGCAUGACUUAUGAUAAUGUUUUAUGGUUCUGCUCACUGGGCUUUUUAGCUCACCCCAUUCCCUUAACCCCCCAGGUGUGCAGGUACGGGAUAGACCAGGAUGUCAGCAAGAGUAAAGUCAUGUCAUGUUUUAUGUAAUAGCUAGAUGUGGACAUGAAAAAGACAUUGUAAUGUAAAGUGUUGAACAGUCAUGUAAUGUAAUGAUGAUAUUGAGGUUUAGAGUUGUGUUUGACCUUAGUAUGUAAAGUUAAUCCCUUUUUCGCAUGAUCUAUGAAAUGUUUUAAUGAUAUUUUAUGUAAACCAAGCUUAAUGUAUGAUAUAUUACCCCAUUGGAGCAUUUGAUGAGGGCUCCAGUGUGAGGUUUUAUGAUUAUGAGUUUGUGCAUGCACAGAUUAAGCUUGGUAAAUGAAAGAAAAAGUUUAAAGUUUUAUGUAUAUGAUUGAUCAUGUAUGGGAUUUAACAGGUAUACAGGAUGUAUGUUAGGCUUGCUACGGGUCCCGACGGCCUUAUGCCGAUCUGGAUCCUAGCGCCAAUAGCGGUCCGGUUUCCGGGUCAUUACAUUUUCAUUCUAAAAGAACUUAAAUUUUGCAUAAUUUUAUAAGAAUUCAUUUGAAUAAUUUUUUUAUAAAAUGAAUCAUGUUAAACAAAGCAUUAAUAAUUUAAAUUAAAUCACAAAAUAAUAAAAAUUUUGGAUAUUAAUUUUAGAAACUUUUAUCUAGAUGAGAUUGUAACAGCCCGGCCCCGUACGACCGGCCCUGUUACCGCUCACCUCCUGGGGGCGGCCACUGUGAGCAGCUCUUAACAUCCCUUCACCCUCACGGGUUCCGGGCAGGAUUUGUCCCUCGGGGGAGCCAGUACGGCCCGCCCUAGCCCGAGUGGAUUUGGCCCAAUUCCUUCCUCUGGGAAUUAGGUCGCCUCCCCCACUGCUCGAACCCUUGACCUCCCACUUUAAGGGAAUAGUCUGGUGAGAGUGAGUACCAAUUCUUCUAAGGAAUUGGGCCAAAUCCACUCGGGCUAGGGCGGGCCGUACUGGCUCCCCCGAGGGACAAAUCCUGCCCGGAACCCGUGAGGGUGAAGGGAUGUUAAGAGCUGCUCACAGUGGCCGCCGCGCCCAGGAGGUGUAACGGGCUGUGAGCGGUAACAGGGCCGGUCGUACGGGGCCGGGCUGUUACAUAAAAAGGAGUAGAAGAAUUGGUACUCACUCUCACCAGACUAUUCCCUUAAAGUGGGAGGUCAAGGGUUCGAGCAGUGGGGGAGGCGACCUAAUUCCCAGAGGAAGGAAUUGGGCCAAAUCCACUUGGGAAGAACGGGUUAGAGUCCCGCGAACCAAGGGGACAAAUCCUGCUUGGAACCCGUGAGGGUGAAGGGAUGUUAAGAGCUGCUCACAGUGGCUGGGCCCAGAGGAAGGUCACGGGCUGUGAGCGGUAACAGUGCCGGGGAUCACGUCCGGGCUGUUACAGAGAUAUGAAUAUAUUAAAAUAAGUCAAAACAUAUGGAUAAAUAAUUAAAAAUUUUAGAUUUUAUUUUUUGUGAAAACAUGUAUAUUAUGAAAAAGUCAAUUAAAAUAAAAAAAAUUUAAUAUUAGCUAUUUUGUGAUUUAAUUUAAAACUUUAAAAAUUGAUAAAAUUAUCUACCUACUUCAUUGUAAUUAUUAUUAUUUUUUUUGAAAUAGGGGUUGGGGGAGUCGAACCUUAGACCUUUCAAGGCUACAGGAUGCACUUUCCACCAGACUAAACCUUGGAGUGCUUCAUUGUAAUUAUUUUUAAAUUUAAAAUUUGAAUUAAGAAAAAUACGUUUUAUUAAUAUAUGGCAAUAUCACAUAAUUUAUUUUAUUAUAUUUAUAUGUCGCGUAAAUAUUUAUUUUAUUAUAUUUAUAUGUAGAUAACGACUAUUGAUACAAAUAACUCAAAAAUUUUUAUUAUUUUAUAAUUUUCAUUUAAAUCUUUAAAAUUUGAUAUAAUUUAUUUUAAAAUCUCUAAAGAUAUUUUCUGGUGCGAAUAAAUAAAAUUACAGUUUUUUUUAUUUGCUAUAGUUUCAAUAAAUUUUGUAAGAAGCCGGAGGGGCAGCAAUGAAAGCGAUAAUAAAUAUAGAAGUUGCGGUCAAUAAAGUAGGGAUCAUCAAAACACCAAACCAUCCAAUGUAAAGACGGUUUUUAGUGCUGGUUAUCCAGUUACAGAAACGACCCCAUAGACUUUCGCUUUCGCGUCUCUCUAAAAUUGCAGUCAUGUUAAAAUCUUGGUUUAUUUAAUCAUCAGGGACUCCCAAACACACGAAUUCUCUAUAAAUCGAAAUAGAUAAUUGAGGACUUGCUAUUCAACAGUAUAACAUGACUUAUAUACCCGUGUCAACCAACACCAACAUUCAUAGAGAUAUAUUUAU